This 253-nucleotide ribosomal RNA is filed under the name uncultured bacterium. Its description in RNAcentral is "partial 16S ribosomal RNA". It matches the Rfam family "Bacterial small subunit ribosomal RNA", at positions 524 to 776 of the family's 1533-position model. The record is from RNAcentral.
CACAGAGGUCUCGAGCGUUGUUCGGAUUCAUUGGGCGUAAAGGGUGCGUAGGUGGCGCUGUAAGUCGGGUGUGAAAUCCUGAGGCUUAACCUCGGAACUGCAUUCGAUACUGCGGCGCUUGAGGACUGGAGAGGAGACUGGAAUUCAUGGUGUAGCAGUGAAAUGCGUAGAGAUCAUGAGGAAGACCAGUGGCGAAGGCGGGUCUCUGGACAGUUCCUGACACUGAGGCACGAAGGCCAGGGGAGCAAACGGG